Molecule: long non-coding RNA, 425 nt
Filed under: Eucalyptus grandis
Lineage: Eukaryota; Viridiplantae; Streptophyta; Magnoliopsida; Myrtales; Myrtaceae
Description: long non-coding RNA (EGRA_LNC007342)
Source: RNAcentral
UAAGCGACUAAAACCCAAAUUCAUUAAACCUAAUUAAAUCUUUCUUUGUAACAUCGUGUAAUCAAAAGGCCUUCAUUGUUUUCUUCUUCAAGCACCUUCCACAGUGAACCACGCUUGUAUUUUCUUUAGCCAAAAACGACAUUCUUUACCGUGUUGACGGCCACCGUGGGUCACCACUUCACGGAUUCAAGGAAGAUACAGGCAUGAAAAAAGAAUAAGGCAAUAAGGACCUGGAAGCGGACGUCCAGACUCAUACGAUCUACCUCCAUUAUUCCUCGCUGAAAUCAGCUAUCGAAUGAUGCAGGAGCACACAAGAACAUAGAACAAAAAGAAACAAAAGAGGUGUUUGGAUUCGAACUCAAAUCUAAAUACUAACAAAUUAAGUGAUAUUAAUCAAUCUAUGUUGACGCGUCCUUGGGUUCAGG